RNAcentral lists this ribosomal RNA (660 nucleotides) under Entoloma abortivum. RNAcentral describes it as "eukaryotic LSU rRNA". The stretch from base 253 to 406 matches the Rfam family "5.8S ribosomal RNA". The record is from RNAcentral. Lineage: Eukaryota; Fungi; Basidiomycota; Agaricomycetes; Agaricales; Entolomataceae.
UGUNUCANGGANCNNNGGUNNNNNAACGUGGUUGGGUUGUUGCUGGCUUCUAGGAGCAUGUGCACGCUCACUCCAUUUUUAACCACCUGUGCACCUUGUGUAGAUCUGAACAAAUCUCGGGGAAACUCGGUCAGAGAAUUGCUGUGUGUUUAAAAGCCAGCUUUUCUUGGGUUCAGAUCUAUGUCUCUAUAUACACCAUAUGAAUGUAUUCGAAUGUAAUUGAUAGGCGUUACAGCCUCUAAAAUCAAAUACAACUUUCAACAACGGAUCUCUUGGCUCUCGCAUCGAUGAAGAACGCAGCGAAAUGCGAUAAGUAAUGUGAAUUGCAGAAUUCAGUGAAUCAUCGAAUCUUUGAACGCACCUUGCGCUCCUUGGUAUUCCGAGGAGCAUGCCUGUUUGAGUGUCGUGAAAUUCUCAACCUCUCUGGUUUUUUAAUAAGCUAGUUAGGCUUGGAUUUUGGAGGUUGCUGGCGUCUCAGAAAUCAGCUCUUCUUAAAUAAAUUAGCAAAGUCUUUGCUGACCAUCUCUGGUAUGAUAAUUAUCUAUAUCAUUGAGAAUCAGCUUCCAUCUCGGAAAGAUUUCGCUUCUAAUGGUCUAUAUCGACAACUUGACAAUUUGACCUCAAAUCAGGUAGGACUACCCGCUGAACUUAAGCAUAUCA